This is a long non-coding RNA of Halichondria panicea, 511 nucleotides long. RefSeq lists it as uncharacterized. Lineage: Eukaryota; Metazoa; Porifera; Demospongiae; Suberitida; Halichondriidae. The transcript is spliced from 2 exons. The record is from RefSeq and is a predicted model, not a curated record.
UCACUGCAUUACAUGAAGUGGAUGAUGUUACAAUGUACUUCUAUGACAGGUAAGGAACAGACAGAUGACUAGUUAUCUAUAAUUAGGUAAACACUGGUCACUGUCUAUGUUUCUACUUUCUAUUUAAAGUCCACCUUUUUCCUACAGUAAAUACUACUUGAACUGGCAAGUAUACAUGUCAAUGUGAGAAUGAAUAAAGCAAUCUGGCCGGAACCAGGCGACCCUACUACUUAUGAAGUGGUACAGUGACAAGGUGGGCGCUUCAUCGUCAAGAGUGAUCGGUCUUGCUAUACCUGAGUUGGUUGUUGUCGAAAAUGCUCAUUUAACUACAAGUUCCAUGGCAGUAUGUUACACCAAGAAGACCUGUUCCGUAAACAAUCAAUUUCCUUUGUAUUGUCACUGUACAAUAUUUUUGUCUUUCCUUCUAACUGUUUAACGUUAGAAUUAACUGUUGUCACUUUUCCCUUAAAAUUAAUGUCACUGUUAACAUUUUUAAGUUGUUUAUAACCUA